This is a long non-coding RNA of Cornus florida, 1386 nucleotides long. RefSeq lists it as uncharacterized. The record is from RefSeq and is a predicted model, not a curated record. The transcript has 2 exons. NCBI's taxonomy places the organism in Eukaryota, Viridiplantae, Streptophyta, Magnoliopsida, Cornales, Cornaceae.
UAUGUUUGCAAAUUGCAGUGAGAUAUUAUUGUAUAGUGUCGGUGCAUUGCUUAUAUAUAUGUUGUAUCUGUGACUUUGGUAAGAGAAGGAAAAUUAAAGAGAUACAGAGGAAACACACACAGUGAGCCGAGAGUUCACAGAGGCUGAAAGUUUGAUGUUCCACUAGUGAUUUGCUUUACAAUUUUCAGGUACCAAGGAUGAGCUUGGAUUGAUAGUAGCCGGCUAGGUGGAAAAUUUGGUGUUGAGGAAUUAUUUAAUUCAUUUUAGAGAGUUGUUGUAUUUUAUUAUUUGAGGAAAUUGAUUCUGUAUCAAUAAAAAGAUAUUUUCUUUUGAGAUCUGGGUGUAAUACUGAUGUAUUUUGAUUUGAAUAAAUCGAAAAUUUUAUUUAGAAAAUUCGGAUCGUGACAAAGAUGAAGUUGCAGAAAAUUUUGGGAACGAAGUACUGUGGCAGAAGCAAGGUUGUUGGUUUGAAGGGAAGCGUUCGGUCUUCUGUGGAUGUGAAAGAGACGUGAAGUAUAGGGAUACCAAAGGGUUAGACGCAGAAUUAAUGACUGAAAUGAUAGAUUAGUGCAAUCAGCGGUUUUUGGAAGUCCCAACAAUCAUGAUACUUAGGAAAUUAUAUGGUAUACUCAUGUUUUUAAUGUAAUGGGUGUUAUUUGAAUUUUGGAAGCCGAAGGGUUAAAAUGGCUACCAAAAUUGGGGAGCAUUGUUAACAUCCAUUUUGGUAAUUAGGUUUGGGCUCCAAUUGGGCUUGACGAGCAGUGACAUAGUAGAAGUUUGGGCCGAGAGGAUACUGGGCUGUAAAAGCAUUGGGUUGAAGAUAGGCAGUAAUGAAUUUGGGCUAAGCAACAGACUUGGGUUGUGAUUAGGAUGGCAUUGAAGCAGUUAAAGGAAGAUUGAGUUUUGCAUGGAUAAUGAUUGGAAAUGCAACAGAUAUGGUUGGUUUGGAUGACCGGAAGUGACAAAUAUUAAGGGAGUAUUUAUUUAGUUACAUAAAUAUGGGUUAUAGGCAAAGGAGCAAUGAUGUGGCAGAUUUUACACAAAGGCAAAGUUACAUGCAAGGGGAACACUGAUCGGAUAGAAGAUUAUUUUGAAUUUUAAAUACAGUAGAUAAUAGUUAUAUAUUUAUCCUAUAUUUGAAUUUAGUUAAGAAUUAGUAUUCCGUUAGGAUUAAUUUGAUUUGAAUAAUUAUUUAGUUGUUUGAUAGAGUUUUAAAGUAAUUAGAGUGCUUAUAUUUAGGAAUUUAUGAAGUUCAUUUACCAUUUAUUCUUUAAAUAAUAAAAGAGGCAUGCUGAGAUAGAGGUCCAGCACCCUCAGAAUCUUUUAAUUUAUUUGUUUGCUUUCUCAAGCCUUUCCUAAAAUAACAUCCUUACUAUUUCUUCUCUA